This 447-nucleotide ribosomal RNA is filed under the name uncultured bacterium. RNAcentral's name for it is "partial 16S ribosomal RNA". It matches the Rfam family "Bacterial small subunit ribosomal RNA", at positions 29 to 523 of the family's 1533-position model. The record is from RNAcentral.
AACGAACGCUGGCGGCAGGCUUAACACAUGCAAGUCGAGCGCCCCGCAAGGGGAGCGGCAGACGGGUGAGUAACGCGUGGGAAUCUACCGAGCCCUAAGGAAUAGCUCCGGGAAACUGGAAUUAAUACCUUAUACGCCCUUUUGGGGAAAGAUUUAUCGGGGUUUGAUGAGCCCGCGUUGGAUUGGCUAGUUGGUGGGGUAAAGGCCUACCAAGGCGACGAUCCAUAGCUGGUCUGAGCGGAUGAUCAGCCACAUUGGGACUGAGACACGGCCCAAACGCCUACGGGAGGCAGCAGUGGGGAAUAUUGGACAAUGGGCGCAAGCCUGAUCCAGCCAUGCCGCGUGAGUGAUGAAGGCCCUAGGGUUGUAAAGCUCUUUCACCGGUGAAGAUAAUGACGGUAACCGGAGAAGAAGCCCCGGCUAACUUCGUGCCAGCCGCCGCGGUAA